UACGGGGGGGGCAAGCGUUGUUCGGAAUUACUGGGCGUAAAGGGCUCGUAGGCGGCCAACUAAGUCAGACGUGAAAUCCCUCGGCUUAACCGGGGAACUGCGUCUGAUACUGGAUGGCUUGAGUUUGGGAGAGGGAUGCGGAAUUCCAGGUGUAGCGGUGAAAUGCGUAGAGAUCCGGAAGAACACCGGUGGCGAAGGCGGCCUGCUGGGCAGUGGCUGACGCUGAGGCGCGACAGCGUGGGGAGCAAACAGG
This 253-nucleotide ribosomal RNA is filed under the name uncultured bacterium. RNAcentral describes it as "partial 16S ribosomal RNA". It matches the Rfam family "Bacterial small subunit ribosomal RNA", at positions 524 to 776 of the family's 1533-position model. The record is from RNAcentral.